Molecule: ribosomal RNA, 2234 nt
Filed under: Listeria monocytogenes
Lineage: Bacteria; Bacillati; Bacillota; Bacilli; Caryophanales; Listeriaceae
Description: partial 23S ribosomal RNA
Rfam family: Bacterial large subunit ribosomal RNA
Source: RNAcentral
CGUUGAUCCAGAGAUUUCCGAAUGGGGGAACCCACUAUCUUUAGUCGGAUAGUAUCCUUACGUGAAUACAUAGCGUGAGGAAGGCAGACCCAGGGAACUGAAACAUCUAAGUACCUGGAGGAAGAGAAAGAAAAAUCGAUUUCCUGAGUAGCGGCGAGCGAAACGGAAAGAGCCCAAACCAAGAAGCUUGCUUCUUGGGGUUGUAGGACACUCUAUACGGAGUUACAAAAGAAAGUUAUAAAUGAAGCGGUCUGGAAAGGCCCGCCAAAGACGGUAACAGCCCGGUAGUUGAAAUGGCUUUCCCUCCAGAGUGGAUCCUGAGUACGGCGGAACACGUGAAAUUCCGUCGGAAUCCGGGAGGACCAUCUCCCAAGGCUAAAUACUCCCUAGUGACCGAUAGUGAACCAGUACCGUGAGGGAAAGGUGAAAAGCACCCCGGAAGGGGAGUGAAACAGUUCCUGAAACCGUGUGCCUACAAGUAGUUAGAGCCCGUUAAUGGGUGAUAGCGUGCCUUUUGUAGAAUGAACCGGCGAGUUACGAUUUGUUGCAAGGUUAAGCGGAAAAAGCGGAGCCGUAGCGAAAGCGAGUCUGAAUAGGGCGCAUAAGUAACAGGUCGUAGACCCGAAACCAGGUGAUCUACCCAUGUCCAGGAUGAAGGUAAGGUAAUACUUACUGGAGGUCCGAACCCACGCACGUUGAAAAGUGCGGGGAUGAGGUGUGGGUAGCGGAGAAAUUCCAAUCGAACUUGGAGAUAGCUGGUUCUCUCCGAAAUAGCUUUAGGGCUAGCCUCGAGGUAAAGAGUCAUGGAGGUAGAGCACUGUUUGGACUAGGGGCCCUUCUCGGGUUACCGAAUUCAGAUAAACUCCGAAUGCCAUGUACUUAUACUCGGGAGUCAGACUGCGAGUGAUAAGAUCCGUAGUCGAAAGGGAAACAGCCCAGACCACCAGUUAAGGUCCCCAAAUAUAUGUUAAGUGGAAAAGGAUGUGGGGUUGCUUAGACAACCAGGAUGUUGGCUUAGAAGCAGCCACCAUUGAAAGAGUGCGUAAUAGCUCACUGGUCGAGUGACCCCGCGCCGAAAAUGUACCGGGGCUAAACAUAUUACCGAAACUGUGGAUGAACCUCUUUAGAGGUUCGUGGUAGGAGAGCGUUCUAAGGGCGGUGAAGUCAGACCGGAAGGACUGGUGGAGCGCUUAGAAGUGAGAAUGCCGGUAUGAGUAGCGAAAGAAGGGUGAGAAUCCCUUCCACCGAAUAUCUAAGGUUUCCUGAGGAAGGCUCGUCCGCUCAGGGUUAGUCGGGACCUAAGCCGAGGCCGAUAGGCGUAGGCGAUGGACAACAGGUAGAGAUUCCUGUACCAGUGCUAAUUGUUUAACCGAUGGGGUGACACAGAAGGAUAGGGAAUCGCACGAAUGGAAAUGUGCGUCCAAGCAGUGAGUGUGAGAAGUAGGCAAAUCCGCUUCUCGCGAAGCAUGAGCUGUGAUGGGGAAGGAAAUUAAGUACGGAAGUUCCUGAUUUCACGCUGUCAAGAAAAGCCUCUAGGAAGAGUAGUACUGCCCGUACCGCAAACCGACACAGGUAGAUGAGGAGAGAAUCCUAAGGUGAGCGAGAGAACUCUCGUUAAGGAACUCGGCAAAAUGACCCCGUAACUUCGGGAGAAGGGGUGCUCUAUUAGGGUGCAAGCCCGAGAGAGCCGCAGUGAAUAGGCCCAGGCGACUGUUUAGCAAAAACACAGGUCUCUGCAAAACCGUAAGGUGACGUAUAGGGGCUGACGCCUGCCCGGUGCUGGAAGGUUAAGAGGAGUGCUUAGCUUCGGCGAAGGUACGAAUUGAAGCCCCAGUAAACGGCGGCCGUAACUAUAACGGUCCUAAGGUAGCGAAAUUCCUUGUCGGGUAAGUUCCGACCCGCACGAAAGGCGCAACGAUCUGGGCACUGUCUCAACGAGAGACUCGGUGAAAUUAUAGUACCUGUGAAGAUGCAGGUUACCCGCGACAGGACGGAAAGACCCCGUGGAGCUUUACUGCAACCUGAUAUGGAAUGUUUGUACCGCUUGUACAGGAUAGGUAGGAGCCGAAGAGACGUGUGCGCUAGCAUACGAGGAGGCAAUGGUGGGAUACUACCCUGGCUGUAUGACCAUUCUAACCCGCCACGCUUAGCGCGUGGGGAGACAGUGUCAGGUGGGCAGUUUGACUGGGGCGGUCGCCUCCUAAAGAGUAACGGAGGCGCCCAAAGGUUCCCUC